AUGGAACGUGUGGUUACCUCCAUGCAUGCUACACUUGCAAAGGCAACCACCCAAAUUCACAAUGCACCAAACCCGGAAGCCAAUCAAAAGGGGGGUUUGAAAAAAAAGGUGAUUCAUGGGGAAAUAAAAAAUCCCAGUCAAUGUCCUACGAAAGGGAGCACACCAAUAAAAACUAUACAAAAUAAGAUAGUUACACCUAUUUGUACCAAAACACUGGCGCGUUAUCUUGAGGGUUAUGACGAUGGUAAGAAAUCCUACCUCAUUCAAGGCUUUACAUAUGGUUUUCCUUUAGAAUUUCAAGGACACAGGGAAUCAUUUUCUUGUGCAAACUUAAAAUCAGCUUUAGACCACCCAGCCGUAGUUGAAGAAAAAAUUAAAAAAGAAUUAGAUUUCAAAAGGGUAGAGGGGCCUUUUAAAAUUAAACCGUUAGAUAUUUUUCGCGUUUCUCCUUUGGGGCUGGUACCUAAAAAAGCACCGGGAACCUGGCGUUUAAUACAUCAUUUGUCAUAUCCAGAUAAAAAUCUAAAUUCUGUUAAUGCAGGGAUAUCGGAUGAAUCUGCAGCAGUUCAAUAUGCAGGUAUUGAGCAAGCAAUUCAACGAAUCAAAACAUUAGGGGAAAGUACAUAUAUGUGUAAAACGGAUAUUAGAUCUGCAUUUAGGAUAGUGCCUGUUAACCCUCGGGAUUUUGGUUUGCUUGGUUUUAAAUGGGACGGAAAUUUUUACUAUGAUAAAUGUCUCCCCUUUGAAUGUCGCACUAGCUGUAAAAUUUUUGAGGAAUUUAGCACAGCCCUUGAAUGGAUAGCUUUGAAUAAGUUAGGGAUUUCGGCUAUGGUACAUAUAUUAGAUGAUUUUUUGAUUUUGGAAAAUUCCAGGGACCGUGCGGUAUCCAAGCUCAAGGCUUUCAUUCAUUUAUGUGAAAAGUUGGGGGUUCCUCUGUCAAAUGAGAAAACUGAACUACCAGCGCAAGUCAUGGACUUUGUUGGGAUUACAUUAGAUGUGCCAAAGCAUGAAUCGCGUUUACCUGAAGAUAAAUUGAACAAAUGUCGAGUGUUACUGACUAAAUUCAUUCAGUUAGACAGGUGCACCCUCAAGGACAUGCAGUCUUUGAUAGGAUUUCUAAAUUUCGCUUGUUCAGUGGUUCAGCCAGGUAGAGCAUUUUUGCGCAGAUUAAUCAAUUUAACUAUGCAUGUUGCUAGCUCCCAAACGCACAUCUUUAUAACUCAUGAGGCUAAGGAAGAUAUGAAGAUGUGGAAAGAAUUUCUAAAUCAGUUUAACGGCAAGUCGAUAUUUUUGAACGAAAUGUUCCUGUCAAGCCAUACUUUAGAGCUGCACACAGAUGCAGCACAAUCUUUAGGAUACGCAGGAAUUUAUAAAAACAGAUGGUUUAAUGGGGUUUUUCCAAAAGAAUGGCAGAAAUUAAAUAUCAUGACCCUUGAAUUUUAUCCCAUUAUUUUGUCAAUUUCUAUGUGGGGUCAUUUGUGGCAGAACCAUUCAAUUUUGUUUUUCACCGACAACGAAUCUUUGGUAUCAGUCAUAAACAAACAAACCUCCAAAGAUAACGAAGUAAUGAAAAUGGUUCGCUUUAUGGUUUUGCAAUGCCUGAAACUGAACAUUCUUUUUAAGGCGAAACACAUUCCUGGCAAAAGGAAUGUUUUAGCUGAUCUCCUUUCUCGUUUGCAGGUCGGUCACUUUUUGAAUCUGGCACCUCUUGCUCAAAAGAAACCCUGCCAAAUACCACAGUACCUUCAACCACAGAACUUUUGGGAGUCGUUAAAAUACUAACACAGGCUGCUCUGGCUCCAUCUACAUCAAGCACUUACAAACAAGCUUGGAACAUUUUUAAUUCCUUUUCACAAGAGGUUUUAGGUCAAACCUGUAAUCUGCCCCUAUCGGCGUCAACUGUCUCGUUAUUUAUUGCUUACCUUUAUAAAAAGCAAUUUGCACCAAGCCCAAUUUCAACUUACCUGUCAGCAUUGGGUUAUGUACAUAAAAUGUUAUCUUUGCCUGACAAUACCCGAUCCUUCUUGGUUGAUAAGCUUGUCACUGGUACUUACAGACUGUCACAAACAAUCGACACACGUUUACCUAUUACUGUUCCUAUUCUGAACAAAAUGCUUAUAGCAUUGCCUACUUUGUCAAUCUCAUCUUAUGAGCAAUGCUUAUUCAAGGCAUUGUUUCUGUUCGCAUUCUCAACAUUUGUCAGAAUUGGCGAGUUAGUUUCAGUCAAGCAUAUUCCACAAGAUCACAUUGUGCAGUUGAGCGAUGUUUCCUUGUCAGUAGUACAAGGUGUAGUUAAGGAAGUCACGGUCAGCUUCCGUAAAUUCAAACAUAGUAUCAAAGAAGGGGCAAAGAUGAUACCUUUCUCAGACUCUAAUACGGGAACUAGUGAAUCUGCGAUCAAUAGUCUAGUACUUUAUUUACAACGCAGGCCAAAACCCCCUGGCCCGUUGUUCUGUUUAACAAGCGGACAACCCCUGACUAGAUCUUACUUUGAUAAGAUUUUGCAUAAUUGCCUGGCUCAUUGCCAGUUGGAUAGUUCCAAAUAUAAAGGUCAUAGUUUUCGAAUAGGAGCUGCAACAGCAGCUGCAGAAAAAGGUUGGUCGGAUGCCAAGAUUAGGGACAUGGGUCGUUGGAAAUCCAACGCAUUUAGAAAGUACAUACGGCCUUAGACCUUAACGAGUACCGCUUUCAAUAGCCUACCGUUAUUAAAUCCUGCAGACAUUCUUUCCUACUUUAGGCAAAGAUACCUGCUUGGGCCGGUAUCUUUCGCUUCAUGCUUCCGUCAGUAUCGCGUUUAAUCCAAUUGGUCCUUGCCUGCCACACUCCAAGGACAGUGUGUCAAUUAGUUUUGCAUAGCUUAUGUUCUUGAAUGCAUGUAUCCCUAUCAGGAUCCCUUAUACCUGCUUAAUGUCAGCAUGAUGCGGACAGAAAUUUUGGGGCUAGAGUUCAAGCAAGUUCAGUAUUUUUGUUUUUUGAUUCCAAUUGUAGUGAGUUCUUUUUCAAUGCUUGCACGUGCCUUGUACUCAUAGAUCCCUGCUUGGGCCGGUAUCUAUGCUUUGCACAUUUCUACAGCUGAUAUGACGUAUGAAGACUCCUGCUUGGGCCGGUGUCUUUCUGCAUUUUAUUCUGUUUGUACCGGUAUUUAUAGAUCCCUGCUUGGGCCGGUAUCUAGUCAUUGCACAUUUUUGUAUGAAGACUCCUGCUUGGGCCGGUGUCUUACUAGCUUUGUCUACCUUGGUACUUGUAUUCAUAGAUCCCUGCUUGGGCCGGCAUCUAUUCAUUUAUAAGUUGACAUGAGGUAUGAAGACUCCUGCUUGGGCCGGUGUCUUUCGGCAUUUUUACCUUUACGUUAUAGUUACAUGAUUGCAUCUGCUGUAUUAGUUUCAACUAAUUUUGGGUGUUCUAUUAGGAUAUUUCUAGUCCUCUCCAAAGUGAUGGUAUAUCAGGGUCAUAACGUUUGUGCCUCUCGCCAAUGCUUGGCCUUUUGUGGGGUAGGAAAGACUCAUCUUUCCUAGGGAAGACUCAUCUUUCCUUGUGGGACUGGUGACCCCUUACAAGGCCAAGUUGGUGGAAUUUUACCAUAACUUUAUAUUUGUAUUUGUCGUAGUUAGAAUUUUUCUAGUCAUAAUACUUUUUCUCAAUUUGUACUUUACAUGUAUUUUGUAUACAUGUUGGUAUCGUAAUUUACAUGUAUUUUGUUUUACAUGUUUGUAUUGUAUUUACAUGUAUUUUGUUAUACAUAUUUGUAUUCUUUUUAUAAAAAUUUUACCUCAGUAUUGAGUAUAAUUUUUGGCAAUUUCAGUCGGUGUUUGUUUUGUAUAUGAAGGAGGAAAGCAUAAAUGUAAGUUAUGCACAUAACUGUUUUUAUGUGGGACGACUGAAUUUGGUUUUAUGAUUUUGUAACUGUUAUGUGGAUGACAUUUUUAAUGAUCUUUUGUUUCCCCUUGGUCACCCCAAUUAACUUAGAUCCUGUGGGCACUUCCAGAUUUAAUCCCCUUAUGUAACCUCCCGAUUAGUGAGGUUUCCUGGCCGCUGAUUGGUCGAGGCCUUCGUAAUCAGCGGCAGUCUACUUCACACUUAGCGUCCUACGACAGUCAUCGUCUUACUCUCAGCUUUGUCUUCAAUUUCCCGCCCACCUACCCCUUCAACUCCCUUAUUUCUGUUAGAAUUUUUCUAGUCACAUACUUGGGACUGGUGACCCCUUACAAGGCCAAGUUGGUGGAAUUUUACCAUAACUUUACAUUUGUAUUUGUCGUAGUUAGAAUUUUUCUAGUCAUAAUACUUUUUCUCAAUUUGUACUUUACAUGUAUUUUGUAUACAUGUUGGUAUCGUAAUUUACAUGUAUUUUGUUUUACAUGUUUGUAUUGUAUUUACAUGUAUUUUGUUACACAUAUUUGUAUUCUUUUUAUAAAAAUUUUACCUCAGUAUUGAGUAAAAUUUUUGGCAAUUUCAGUCGGUGUUUGUUUUGUAUAUGAAGGAGGAAAGCAUAAAUAUCAUUUUAUUUUAUCACUUUAUAAUAGAUAAAAAAAUGUACAGCUGCUGAUUGCUGGUAUUGCACCCUCAAUCCAAAGAGGCUACCUGCAGAUAAGCCCCUUCAUUGGUUGCCUGAUCCCACUAAAGGUCCUGACGACACUUUCCAAUCUCUUGAGGCUCUCUUGGGCACUGAGACAACAGACAGGGAUUGUCCUGGUUUAAGUGCUAAAGGUACUGCUACAGAAAAUGACAAGAAACACAAAGGAGUUUUGGUAGCAGCCAAAGUUCGCAGCUUCAUUAUGUGCUGUCUCUGUGGCAAACGUAGAGUAGUUUAUUGCAAAGAACGCCUAGGCAGGCAACAGAUUACAGACAUCGAGGAGGUUCAAGAUAGCCUUUUCUAUACUUGUGGGUCUACGCUGUUCCCUUCUGGUCAUAGAUAUCAUGAAACCAUUGUAGUCAAGGAAGGUCUGGAAUGUACAGCUGAGAUGGAAACUACCUAUUAUGCAGGCAUCACGACCAAGUUUCAGCCAGUUUGUUUCUUCUGUGGGGAUACUGAAGUGGACAGCACAUCGCAGACUGUGCAAGACAUGAGAAAAAACUAUAGCAUUGUCAGACCUAUUUGUGGAAACUGCAUAUCAAGAGGCAUUCAGCCUAAAGUUCGAAAUGCUUUGAAAUUGAAUAAAAAGUGAUCUUGGAAAUUAAAGUUGACAAAAAAAAUGUGUUUUUUAAUUUUUAUUCAGUCAAUUUAAAUACUAUUUGGUUAAGGUUCCAAUUUUUUUUUUUUUUUUUUUUUCCGACCACCCAACGCAUAUUUUGGUGGCAAAAAAUCGUAAACCAAAAAAAAUAAAAACUUUGGCCUAAAUUUUGUUUUAUACUUACUGUAUCUACUUUGACCAAUGAAGGAAAAUUUAUAUUAAUUUCAAGAAAUUUCAACCACACAUUUUCAUUUGAAUAAUUUCAAUAGAUAUAUAGAAAUUUCAUCAAGCAAACUUUUGAUCACUGAGAUGCUCUAAAUUUGAUAUCAAAUCGAAUUAAAAGCUUAAUUUAGCUAAUUUUUACAGAGUUAUUUCCUUUGGGUGUUGGGUACCACCUUAAAUACACAAAUUUGGAGAGGGAUAUAAAAGUCUUCAACUGUCAGAAAUGGAUCAAGUCCUUCAGCUUUUUAUUAUCGUUUUCCCAAAGAAGUUGUUGUUAUUCUAUAGCAUUUGGACACUCUCUAAAAUCAACUUCAUUCAGUGAUGACUGUUUAUCAAACUUGGUACAUAGUUUUUAGAAUGACAUAGAACCCUAUUAUUUUUUUUACAAAGGUUAAGAUCACAGGAUCCAGUUGUCAUUUCAUAACAUCCUUGUGAACAAUGCAAUGAGCCGUAGUGUAACAAAUAUCUAAGACAUCAGUGUCGCAGAGACACAUUUUCUUGUUUUUUAAUACUCAAAAUACUAGUCAAUUUUAAAACUUUUAAUAGUUGUUUUUGAACAUUUACAAUACUAGGCUUUUUAUGAACAGGUAGACUUAUAAAAUUGAUUUAGUUCAUCGUGUUUAAGAAAGACAGUCUUGAUAGAAUAAAUUGAUGGUGCUAUGAUCAAGCUUCAUUGAUGGCAAGUUAUUUGAAUGGUGAUGAGACCCAAGAUACUCUUCUCUUUACUAUCAUGCUUGGGAACAUCUGAAAAUAGACCUCUAUUCAGGGGUUAUAAAUAGUCAUUCAUACAUAUUAAAUUUAAAGAAAAAGUGUAUUUCACAUUUAUUUCACUUCUAUGGGUGGUGCCGCACUAUCUGAAAUUGCUUCUGUGAGUGGUCCCUCAUUACAUUUUUAUGCUUCUAUGGGUGGUUACCCAAAUUUUAAAGUGCCUUCCCCGGGUACCUCAUAUGUUUUAAUGGAACAGCCCUAAGGCAUCACGAGACUUCUGUUUCUGUUUUACUCCAAAGUGACAGCAUCACUAGCUACAGUCAUUCCCACCGUUCCUUAUAUUUCAACGUGGCCAUCGACAGUUUUCUUAUACAACAAGAUGCCACCCGUGCGUACUCGAGUUCCCAACCUCCGCAAUAGAGAAGAAAGGUCUUGUUACACCGCCUAGAGGACGAGGGAGGAGGCGUGACCGUCAGCCAAUGGGAGUACUCAGUGUCAGCAAGUACUAUCAACUAAGGAGCAAUCUCUUGGAAACAGUUAACAGAUAUGUCCUUAGCUAUCCUCUGUCCACAUGUUGCAAAACAUUGGGAUUUCAAUGGCACUUAUGCUCAACACAAGGCCUCCGUUUUGCCUGUUAUGCACCUUGUGUGUUGGUAUUUUGGUGAUUCCCCCACACCUGUGAAAAUUAGUAAGCAAUGUGGCCAGUUAUCUCCAAUGUUUCCUUGUAUUUGUUAAUUCAAUGAUUUCAAUAAAUGGGUAAAUCACGCUGGUGUUUUUGGUUUUGUUUUCUGCAAGGUAAUGGUUCGGAACUAGCAUAUCCUGGUAGAAUUCUCGAGUGUCUGCCAAAUUGGUGGCCACUAGUUGACGAAGUCACUUCAGGGCUUGGAGGGUUAAGUGUCGCUGGGGGGAUAUAUCAACUGUUAAAUUAAUGUUUAAACCACUUACUAGUAACUUGUAUUAAUAAAAAAAAUUGUAUUCAAGGCUGUAUCUACUGAUAACAAUUAGUAAAUUCAUUUUAAUUCUACGAUGGUUGACAUUAAUAACCACAUUAAAGUAGUGCUUUAUUCUAAUGCAAUACUAAGCCAGAUGCUCUUUAUAAAAAAAACACCAAUUCAUACUCGAGCAAUGUUUGUGUCUGUAACUUUUAGUAACAAUCAAUAAAAUCUGUUUCAAAAUGAUAGUAUAAUAACGACUACAUCAAACCAUGGAUUUACAUGGGUUUUUUUUCAGACGCACCAACCUUUCAAUCACACAAUGAACACACAUUGCACAGAGAUUACCAGAGGAUUACGAGGACAAAGUGACUGAUUUCUAGCUUUAUAAUCACUCAAAGAAAGAGACACAAUUAUCCCAUCUCACAGAAAAGAAAUGAUGACCCUUACCUUCAACAUCCCAUACACAUCAACAAUAAAAGUACAAAGACAGUCAACAUCAAGACAACUGGAAAUGAUAGAACAGAUUUAUGGUUAUGCUGGUAUGCACUGUUGACGAAGUCACCACCAUACGUUAUCUCUAAGAUAAAGACUCUUCCAAAAGAAACUUUCCUUAUUUUAUAUAAAAAUGCAAUUUUUUAUAUUCCAAUUUUUUAAAAAAAAUCCCCUAAUGCAUACAAGAGCAGGGUUCAGCUACAAGAAAAUUUAGAAUAAUUUUUCACAGCUUUGAUCAGAAAUAUAUUGAAAUUUGAUUUAUUAAAUUAUUAUUUAUACACAACGUUGGUUUCCUUUUCCUGUACUUAGCUAACUAUGUUUAAUUAGGAUAUUUGAUGUUGCUUUGUUUUUAUUUAUCAUAUCGAUUCUAAAAUUAGAUUUGGUAUUGGUCAGUGUAAUUAGAUGACCAAUCAGAUUAGAGUAGCCGGGAGCAUUGAUGCCUAGAGGGGGAUGCUGAUUAGUUCAUUGUAUAGCCUUGUAGGAGACUGAAAGUAACAGCAGCUAUUAUUUUUGCCUUUUCAACAUUUAUCUAUAUCGUGAUUCCUUUCAAUGAUCAUAUUGGAACUUACUAUUCAUCUUGGAGACGUUUUCAUGUAGUGUUUUCCACAUAUAUAGAAGAUUCUGGGAGUUGUAUUUGUUUGUGUGACUGGUGCAUUAUUUUCCCGCCAUGGGACCUAAGCGAUCUAAUCGAUCGGUACCGUACAAUCCUGAACUACCUGCUAAUUGGACUUCGGCACGUUUGAGAGAAACUCUGAAUUCCCGCGGUAUUAACUUUCCCACCAAUGCUCGCCGAUCCGUGUUGAUACGUUUGAUUGAAGAGAAUGAGAAUCCUAUAAAUAGACCUACGCAGUCCCACAAUGACACAUCCCACAAUGCAACGCAACGAGUAAACAACAAUGGCGAACAGAGAGUGUUGGUAGACUUGGUGUCAAAGUUGACAUCAACGGUUCAAUCGCUGCAACAAAGUGUGGUGUCGUUAAACACUAGAGUGAAUUCUCUUACCGCUCAGGCUAAUAUUCAGUCGGACAAUGCCGUUGCAGGGAGACCGCUUCUCCGGACAGAAACGGCAAGAAAUGCAACACGGGUGACCACCGGUAACAACGAACCUCCAACUUCGGCGGGUCUGUCUACAGUACACGUAUCCACAGACUCUUUGCCCAUUUCUCCGACGAAUGAAAGCCGUGGUUAUGAUCUGGCUUCCGCUUUCUCUGCUUUCCAAUCGCGUCAAGUCUCGGCUGCUGCUGGAUCACCUGGUCAGCUCAACAAUGUGAGGACGACCUAUGGCUACGCUUCUGAAUCAUUACCAUUGGUAGAGACUAUAUCGCCACAACUGAGACAGCAGAUAGUGUCAGGUAAGGACGUGAACCUAGCCACUCUUCUUAUUCCCUACUUCACUCCCAUUGAGUCACCAGAGGGCAAGUCUGACCAGAGACUGCAACGUUUCCUGACCAUUGGGGAAUUCAUUCAAGCUUUCGGCAUUUAUAAGAACGUUAUGUGUGAGGCCUACCCUCACCGAAGAUCGGAAUUAGAUUUGUAUGAGAGAGACUUAGUGGACAUGGCCACCCGUUAUCCUGGGAAAGGUUUUUACGAAUAUCACCGCCAUUUUAGCCUUAUGGCCGCGGCUCAGCUGAAAUUCAACAACAUUUUAGUGGAUUGGUCAAUUCGUAACAAUACAUUGUUUUGCAACAUAUUUGCCAACUCAAAGCCCCAGUCAUGUGCUGCUUGCAACAGCACCCUACAUCUGACUGGAUUCUGUCCAUUGAAUGCCAACAGAAGACCCACUGACAGCAACGAUUCGUACGGGCGCAAGAGAAACUUCCACGCAGGUAGAGAAAUCUGCAACAAUUUCAAUGGACAACGGGGUUGUCAACUAGCCAGAUGCAGGAAUGCUCAUAUUUGCUUGGAAUGCAAAGAAGACCAUUCCAAACUUAACUGUCCAAGCACAAAAAACUCCAGUUGGCCCCAGUUCUUUGGGGCCUCCACUCACCAGAAGCCACAGAGGGAAAUUUCGACUUCGAAAUAACGACACCAGUGCAGAUAGAUAUACUACAAGAUCUGCUGAUAGACCACCCAGAUAGGGAUUUCACACAGUAUUUGAUUAAUGGAUUACGAUGUGGCUUUUACACGGGGUUCAAAAAUAUUCCAAACAAUAACUUUGAAUGUAAAAAUCUCAAGUCGGCGAUUCAGUAUUCCAACAGUGUAACGGAACUACUACAACAGGAAGUUGACAAGGGUUACCUAUUGGGUCCCUUUACAGAUAUUCCUUUUCCUCAUUACCGUAUAAAUCCAAUUGGUAUAGCAAUUAGUAAAUAUUCUAAGAAAAAGAGACUCAUCGUGGACAUGUCGGCGCCUCAUAAUGACUUAGAUAAUCCUAGCUUGAAUGACUUGAUCAACAAAGAAGACUUUUCUCUCAGCUAUGUGACCAUAGACGAUGCUAUACAGCUUAUCAAAAAAUGUGGAAAGAAUUCUAUGUUGAUAAAAACCGAUAUCACAGAUGCAUUUAAAAUAAUGCCUAUCUGCCUUCAAUUGUGGCCCUUUCAUGGUGUUAAGUGGGAAAACCAAUAUUAUUUUUACAAACGUUUAGUAUUUGGAAGUCGUUCAAGUCCCAAAAUUUUUGAUAGCUUGUCCUUUGCAGUGUGCUGGAUUGCUACACACAAAUACCAAAUGCCCAAUAUUCUACACCUACUUGAUGAUUUCCUAGUAGUCGUUCCUCCAGACUCGAAUGCUACCGAAAUUAAGCUAAAGCUGCUUAGCCUUUUCAAAGACUUGGGGAUUCCACUGUCGGUUAAAAAGACUGAAGGCCCAAAUACGGAAUUGGAAUACUUGGGUAUCUACUUGGAUUCUUUCAACAUGAUAGCAAGGUUACCUAAGGACAAGAGUGAUCGCAUCUCAGAAAUAGUGGAAUCGUUCCUGCACCGCAAAUCCUGUACAAAAAGGGAAUUACUUAGUUUACUUGGACACUUAAACUUUGCAUGUAGAGUAAUCCUACCAGGACGAUCUUUUAUUUCACACCUUAUCGCUCUAUCCACAACUGUAGAACCAUUACAUUACCAUAUUCAGUUAGACAGUAUGUGCCGAGCAGAUCUCACUAUGUGGGCUAAAUUCCUUCGUUCAUGGAAUGGCGUUUCUUUUUUCAUCAAUGAUGACAUUGUGAAUGCAGCAGAUAUUCAACUUUUCACGGAUGCCACCCCAUCUUCCUUUGGUGGAUUUUACCAGAAUGACUGGUUUCAAGGAUAUUUUCCCAAAGAAAUUUUGCAAGAGAAGACAUCAAUGGCCUUCUUUGAACUCUACCCCAUAGUGAUGGCAUGUCUUCUGUGGGGCGAUAAUUGGAAAAGGAGCGCAUUUUGUUUCAUUGUGAUAACAGAGCAACCGUAGAUAUUAUAUGCAAGGGACGUUCGAAAAUUAAAAGCAUAAUGAAACUUAUGAGAACUUUGACUUUUCACGCGGCUAGCAACCAUUAUAUCAUUCAUGCUAAGCAUAUUGAAGGUACAAAAAACUGUAUUGCUGACUCUCUCUCUCGUUUCCAGAUGCAGAGAUUCCGAACCUUAGCUCCCCAAGCCAACCCCUUUCCAGUGCCUUGCGUGCAUCAUUCGGUGAUGAUGACAGACUAGAUCAGGAGUUGCAGGGACUUUGGGAAGCUUCACUGAACCAGUCAACUCGCAAGACAUAUUCUUCAGCCUUACAGUGUUUUCAGAACUUUAUGAUUAUGAAUGGUGCUAAGUUCUCCAAGCAUGGGUUACCUCUCAUACAAGAAUCAGACCUUGUUUAUUUUGUGACACAUUGUAAAUCGGUGCUGAAAUUGAAACAUGACACCAUUAAAUUAUAUCUUGCUGGCAUUAGGUUUCACUAUAUUAAGUCUGGAUUGGGCGAUGUCUUGAAAGGAUGCGAUCAGUUGCAUUAUGUGUUAAGAGGUGUUAAAAGAUUACAGUCAAAUGUCCAUCACAAGCGUUUUCCUAUUACUACAAGAAUUUUAGCACAAAUAUGGAAUGUUUUAGACCAGGGAGUUUUUUCUCCUUUUGUAGAUCUCAUGUUAAAAUGUAUGUAUUCAUGUGCAUUUUUUGGUUUUUUGAGAUGUGGUGAAAUCACAUGCAAAUCUCAGAAUGUAGAACAAUUUUUACAAAUCUCAGAUGUACAUAUUAAACCAGGAGGAAGUGCUUUUGUUUUGAAAUUAAGAACCUCCAAAACAGAUCCAUUUUCAAAAGGUGUUGAAAUUGUUAUUUUUGAAAAUGACCACUUUAAACCGGUGUACACCAUGAUAUCAUAUUUAGAUGCUCGCAAAUCUCUGUUUAGUUCAAACACUGGCAAAUCGCCAUUAUUUGUAGACAAUGAAUUUAACCUUAAACCCAUGCCAAGAGACACUUUUGUUCUGCAACUGAAAGAGAUACUCCUUCGGAUUGGAUAUGAUGAUAACAAAUUUUCAGGUCAUUCUUUUAGGAUAGGUGCAGCUACAGCAGCGGCUGCAGCUGGUGUUGAAGAUCAUGUUAUUAAAGAAUUAGGUCGUUGGUCUUCAGACUGCUACAACAGAUAUAUUAGAACAGAUGUAGAGGCUGUUCAAAAAGCACAAGUACAAAUGUCAUAUUUGUAAUAUGUUGUUUCUUUUUUUUUUUUUUUUUUCUACUGUGUACAUGAGCCUAUUAUUAUUACAUGUUAAAAAUUUUUUUUUUUUUUUUUUCUUUUUUCAUGACUACCGGUUCUUGGGGGCUUCACUCAUUCCUUUCGUUCAUUUGGCGUUCAUUCCUGGGGGAAUUUUGCCCCCAAGGGAUUAUUUACUUAUUACAUACAUUAUUUGUUUAUAUGUACAUGUAUUGUAUUAGAACCUGUAUAUGAAUUAUGUUGGCAGGCGGUAUAUUGUAGAUAUUAGGUUGACACGUUAUUCGGGCAGGAAUCUCGGCCACGUCUAUGUUUCUCUGUAUAUACAUGGUUAAGCUCACAGAUCAGCUCGAGCUUCAUUGGAUUUGUAUUCGGGUUUGUUGGUUACCCGCUGGGAUCAGCCCCGGGUAAGCUCCCUGGGAUCAGCCCGGAGCUUCAUUUCCAUUCAGUUUUGCAUGCAUGGGGAUUUGCUCAUUCAGCUCCCUGGGAUCAGCCCGGAGCUUCAGUCUGUUUUCUCGCCCGCUGGGAUCACCCCGGGCAGCUCCUUGGGAUCAGCCCGGAGCUUGUUUUUUGUGUUCAUUAACCCGCUAGAUUCAGUCGCGGGUAGCUCCUUGGGAUCAGCCCGGAGCUUCAUCACUCCUUUUGGACCCGUUGGGAUCAACCCGGGGUAGCUCACUGGGAUCAGCCAGUUGCUUAGUUGUGGUUUUAGUCCAGAUGGUCGUACGUGACCUGCUGGGAUCAGCCCAAGGCUAGUUCACUAGAGUUAGUGUAGAGUAGAGUAGAGUACAUAUAGUUAUGUAGUAUUGGAGUUAUAAGAAUGAGAAGCCCCCAGAACGCCAAACUGUAUUUUAUUUUUUGUUGUUUUGUACAUAUUGUAUGUUCUUCUGAUGUAGGCAUGUAUGUUAGUAAUCAAUAUGAGUUUUCAGUUGGAUAUGUAAAUAAAUGUUAAACUCUGA
Molecule: RNA transcript, 13071 nt
Organism: Ostrea edulis (European flat oyster)
Lineage: Eukaryota; Metazoa; Mollusca; Bivalvia; Ostreida; Ostreidae
Exons: 3
Source: RefSeq, a predicted model, not a curated record